AAAAGGCUUAGUGGCGGACGGGUGAGUAACGCGUGGGUAACCUGGCCCAUACAGGGGGAUAACACUUAGAAAUAGGUGCUAAUACCGCAUAACAACAGAAAGCGCAUGCUUUUUGUUUGAAAACCAAGGUGGUAUGGGAUGGACCCGCGUCUGAUUAGCUGGUUGGCAGGGUAAAGGCCCACCAAGGCGACGAUCAGUAGCCGGCCUGAGAGGGUGGACGGCCACAUUGGGACUGAGACACGGCCCAAACUCCUACGGGAGGCAGCAG
Molecule: ribosomal RNA, 268 nt
Filed under: uncultured bacterium
Lineage: Bacteria
Description: partial 16S ribosomal RNA
Rfam family: Bacterial small subunit ribosomal RNA
Source: RNAcentral